This 680-nucleotide ribosomal RNA is filed under the name Ralstonia sp. MBRG 4.13. RNAcentral's name for it is "bacterial SSU rRNA". It matches the Rfam family "Bacterial small subunit ribosomal RNA", at positions 79 to 761 of the family's 1533-position model. Lineage: Bacteria; Pseudomonadati; Pseudomonadota; Betaproteobacteria; Burkholderiales; Burkholderiaceae. The record is from RNAcentral.
UUCGGUCUGGUGGCGAGUGGCGAACGGGUGAGUAAUACAUCGGAACGUACCCUGUUGUGGGGGAUAACUAGUCGAAAGAUUAGCUAAUACCGCAUACGACCUGAGGGUGAAAGUGGGGGACCGUAAGGCCUCACGCAGCAGGAGCGGCCGAUGUCUGAUUAGCUAGUUGGUGGGGUAAAGGCCCACCAAGGCGACGAUCAGUAGCUGGUCUGAGAGGACGAUCAGCCACACUGGGACUGAGACACGGCCCAGACUCCUACGGGAGGCAGCAGUGGGGAAUUUUGGACAAUGGGGGCAACCCUGAUCCAGCAAUGCCGCGUGUGUGAAGAAGGCCUUCGGGUUGUAAAGCACUUUUGUCCGGAAAGAAAUCGCUUCGGUUAAUACCUGGGGUGGAUGACGGUACCGGAAGAAUAAGCACCGGCUAACUACGUGCCAGCAGCCGCGGUAAUNNGGUCGAGCGUAAUCGGAAUUACUGGGCGUAAAGCGUGCGCAGGCGGUUUUGUAAGACAGGCGUGAAAUCCCCGAGCUCAACUUGGGAAUUGCGCUUGUGACUGCAAGGCUAGAGUAUGUCAGAGGGGGGUAGAAUUCCACGUGUAGCAGUGAAAUGCGUAGAGAUGUGGAGGAAUACCGAUGGCGAAGGCAGCCCCCUGGGACGUCACUGACGCUCAUGCACGAAAGCG